AGGGUACUUAUUUGGGGAGUUUAAGGAGGUUUGUUUAAGGGUUGAAGGGAGAAACGUAGAUCAGAUUAGAAUAACUGUAUGGAGGAGUCUAAAAAGAUUUGUACGAGGGCUGAGGGGUGAGACACCGUAUAAGAACUGUGCUUUUUGUGUGGUGUAUUAGACAGCAUUUGAACAUUCGACUUAAUACAUAGGAGAGUUUUGAAGGGGUUCUUCCUUGCCAUUGGACGAAGGCAAAUGGUUUUUUGGAGUCAAAUACUAGUUGCCGUGAAUCACAGAAGGUAGAAGAAAUUCCGACCCUGUGAGGACAAGCUUGUCAAUCCAGAAGUUUUCUUCUGGUGGUAAAAACUGGUAACAAGUAUCAGGGGAUUAUAUAACUAUAUUUUGGCUCCCUGUCUCUUCGUUCCCCACCUUGAGUUUGUGAGCGACGGGGUAGUCGCCGGGAAGCACCCAAAGACCAUCUCGAGGUUUGAAGAGCAAGGACCAAGAAACAUGAGCCUAACCUUCCCGCGGGUUCUUCAUGCUCCUGGUCUCCUUUACCGUAGUUUGACUUGCACCAAUCACACAGGUUAUCUACUUUUCUUGCCCCGGACGAGAAGAUUUUGUGCAAUUACCAUCUCAUCAGUUUCCAAGUCAAGUGAAGAGCUAAUGGUGGUGGUGGGAGGUGGAGCUGCUGGAAUAUAUGGUGCAAUCAGGGCGAAAACUCUGGCCCCCAAUCUUAAAGUAGUUGUUGUCGAAAAGGGAAAAGCUUUAUCCAAGGUUAAGAUUUCUGGAGGUGGUCGCUGCAAUGUGACUAACGGUCAUUGCGUUGACAAUAUGAUUUUGGCAGAACACUACCCCAGGGGACACAAGGAACUGCGAGGGUCUUUUUUCAAGAUGCACAGCCCAAUGGACACCAUGACUUGGUUUUCUGAUCAUGGGGUAGAGCUUAAGACUGAAGAUGAUGGAAGGGUUUUUCCUGUCAGUAACAGUUCAUCUUCUGUAAUUGAUUGCCUCUUGUCUGAAGCCAAGAGCAGAGGAGUUAUACUGCUGACUGGAAAGGUUGUGACAAGCGCUUCCAGUAUUGCCAGAGGGAAAUUCACUGUCAGGGUAGAGAAACGGACAGCUGAUAUUGUAGAGUAUGUGGAAGCUGAGUAUCUUCUAAUUGCAAGUGGAAGCAGCCGGCAGGGUUAUAGUCUUGCUGCUCAGCUUGGUCACACUAUUGUGGAACCUGUACCAAGCCUAUUCACUUUCAAGAUUGAUGAUUUCCAGCUAGCAGAGUUGUCUGGGGUUACAUUCACCAAGGCAAAAGCUAAAUUGAAACUAGAUACCAUGCAGAAGAAUGUACCACCGCUUACACAGGUUGGACCAAUGUUGGUAACGCAUUGGGGGCUUAGCGGUCCAGUGAUUCUUCGCCUAUCUGCAUGGGGAGCCCGUGAUCUUUCCAUUUCAAAUUAUAAAGUGAAGUAUCAUACCCGUUCAGGCAUCCUUGAAGUAGAUUUUGCUCCUGAUCUUCAUGCUGAAGAUGUAAAAUCUGUUCUCAAUCAACACAAGAAUCGAUUCCCAAAGCAAAAGUUGCUCAGUUCGUGGCCUUCUGAAUUUGGCCUGGCAAAAAGAUUCUGGAAAUAUAUAAUAGACCGGUCUAUCUGGAGAUAUCCUCUGGUCUUCAAUCUCUCGCGGCUCAUUAACAUCAGUUGCUUUUCUCUUAAAACACUGUACCUUUAAUGUCAUAGGCAAGGGUCAAUUUAAGGACGAGUUUGUCACGGCUGGAGGAGUUCCGUUGUCUGAGAUUUACCUGAAUACAAUGGAAAGCAGGAUUCAGUCCAAUCUGUUCUUUGCUGGGGAGGUACUGAAUGUUGAUGGCGUUACUGGUGGUUUCAAUUUCCAGAAUGCCUGGUCUGGUGGAUACAUUGCGGGGACAAGUGUCGGUACCCUUGCAAAUGGCAGUAACCCUAGAUACAGAGAGGAGGAUGUUGCGUAGAGAAACACAGAAUGUGGCAUGCUCAAACAUGGCAAAAGGUGAUUCGAAUGUUCUAUAUCUAUGAUUCUGCUAAUAAAUGGUACAGUCCUAUUUCCGGAUUUUGGUAUCAAGAGAGGUUAUGUGGCGAUUUGUGUUUGCGAAGGGGGUUAGACAGAAUUAAGUUGUCAUCUUCGGUAAGGGAAAGCUUCAUCCAGGAGAACACGACUAAACAAUGUCAGCUCUUCAUCAGAUGAUGUUGAUGCUAUUGGACGAUUUUCUGGUGAGAUAUUUCCUCCCCGCAAUCGGUGGAGCAAAGCAUCCAAAACCUCUUUCUAGAGUAGUGCAGAAAAAGUUCUUGCACGCUACAGGCCACUCCAUUCGGCCAACUGUUUGAAGUCUGCAGUCUGCACAUCAAAGCUUGAACUUCUUGUCCGAUUGAUGUGAUGUCGCUUGGUGCAUGCUUCCAUUAUCGAGCACUUUUUGCGUGCCAAGGAAAUGAAGCUUUUCUGAAUACUCAGUUUUCAAAUCAUGAAAACAAUCUGGACAAAUUUCACAAUGCAGUUUGGGCCCGUCCAAAUUAGUCGUCCUCAUUGCCUGAGUCAAAUUUUCGGAGGUUCUUUGUAGUUUGAUUAGUCAAGGAGUUGGUUCCUUUUCAAAAAAAGAUGCAGCUUUUAGUAGAUCAAUAGAUCAUUGAUGACAUUAUAUGAAUUGGUCCUUUUCUUUCAAUGUGCUUAAAGAAAAGGAGUCCCAUAUUGUUUUCUAAAACAAUAUGGCUAUGGAAAAUUUCAAGAAGAAGAAGAAAGAAGUUACUACUGUAUUUUCAUACGCAGACAACAAUAAAUUCAAGGGCUUGUAAAAGUAAAACUUCAACAAGAAAGGGUUGAUGAAUUGC
Molecule: non-coding RNA, 2828 nt
Organism: Coffea arabica (coffee)
Lineage: Eukaryota; Viridiplantae; Streptophyta; Magnoliopsida; Gentianales; Rubiaceae
Source: RefSeq, a predicted model, not a curated record